GAGGUGAACAAUCACGUGAAGGUUGUGCCCUGGCUCGGGGUGGGAGCACUAACACCGGGGUGCAGCAAUGAAGAGCUCUAAAUGAAUAUAUGCAAGCUCAUAUAAUUCAACCAUUUCAAUUACAUAAUAACUCGCCUGAACUUACCUGUGCCUCCAUACGAUCAUUUGGCAUAACCACAAAUCUCAUCACAAUGCAAUAUUUAAAUAUAACACAUUUAAAUCAUGGCAUGCUAUGCAUAAUCAAUUUAAAACAUUUCUAGAAAACAGUAAG
Molecule: long non-coding RNA, 271 nt
Filed under: Malus domestica (apple)
Lineage: Eukaryota; Viridiplantae; Streptophyta; Magnoliopsida; Rosales; Rosaceae
Description: long non-coding RNA (MDOM_LNC020825)
Source: RNAcentral